This 653-nucleotide ribosomal RNA is filed under the name uncultured Selenomonadaceae bacterium. RNAcentral's name for it is "bacterial SSU rRNA". It matches the Rfam family "Bacterial small subunit ribosomal RNA", at positions 224 to 873 of the family's 1533-position model. The record is from RNAcentral. Lineage: Bacteria; Bacillati; Bacillota; Negativicutes; Selenomonadales; Selenomonadaceae.
GAUGGACCCGCGUCUGAUUAGCUAGUUGGCGGGGUAACGGCCCACCAAGGCGACGAUCAGUAGCCGGUCUGAGAGGAUGAACGGCCACAUUGGGACUGAGACACGGCCCAAACUCCUACGGGAGGCAGCAGUGGGGAAUCUUCCGCAAUGGGCGCAAGCCUGACGGAGCAACGCCGCGUGAGUGAAGAAGGUUUUCGGAUCGUAAAGCUCUGUUGAGAGGGACGAGAGAUAUAAUCAGGAAAUGGGUUAUAGAGGACGGUACCUUUCGAGGAAGCCACGGCUAACUACGUGCCAGCAGCCGCGGUAAUACGUAGGUGGCGAGCGUUGUCCGGAAUUAUUGGGCGUAAAGGGAGCGCAGGUGGGAAAGUAAGUCAGUCUUAAAAGUUCGGGGCUCAACCCCGUGAUGGGAUUGAAACUACUUUUCUUGAGUGCAGGAGAGGAAAGCGGAAUUCCUAGUGUAGCGGUGAAAUGCGUAGAUAUUAGGAGGGACACCAGUGGCGAAGGCGGCUUUCUGGACUGUAACUGACACUGAGGCUYGAAAGCGUGGGGAGCGUUCAGGAUUAGAUACCCUGGUAGUCCACGCCGUACGGACCCUCCUCGUGUAGGAGGUAUCGACCCCUUCUGACCGGAGUUAACGCAAKRAGCWUCCCGCC